RNAcentral lists this ribosomal RNA (749 nucleotides) under Cryptosporidium xiaoi. RNAcentral describes it as "SSU rRNA". It matches the Rfam family "Eukaryotic small subunit ribosomal RNA", at positions 220 to 1028 of the family's 1831-position model. The record is from RNAcentral. Lineage: Eukaryota; Apicomplexa; Conoidasida; Eucoccidiorida; Cryptosporidiidae.
AACCAAUAUUUUUGGUGACUCAUAAUAACUUUACGGAUCACAUUAUGUGACAUAUCAUUCAAGUUUCUGACCUAUCAGCUUUAGACGGUAGGGUAUUGGCCUACCGUGGCUAUGACGGGUAACGGGGAAUUAGGGUUCGAUUCCGGAGAGGGAGCCUGAGAAACGGCUACCACAUCUAAGGAAGGCAGCAGGCGCGCAAAUUACCCAAUCCUAAUACAGGGAGGUAGUGACAAGAAAUAACAAUACAGAACCUUACGGUUUUGUAAUUGGAAUGAGUUAAGUAUAAACCCCUUAACAAGUAUCAAUUGGAGGGCAAGUCUGGUGCCAGCAGCCGCGGUAAUUCCAGCUCCAAUAGCGUAUAUUAAAGUUGUUGCAGUUAAAAAGCUCGUAGUUAAUCUUCUGUUAAUUUUUAUAUAUAAUAUUUCGAUAUUUAUAUAAUAUUAACAUAAUUCAUAUUACUUUUUAGUAUAUGAAACUUUACUUUGAGAAAAUUAGAGUGCUUAAAGCAGGCUAUUGCCUUGAAUACUCCAGCAUGGAAUAAUAUUAAGGAUUUUUAUUCUUCUUAUUGGUUCUAGAAUAAAAAUGAUGAUUAAUAGGAACAGUUGGGGGCAUUUGUAUUUAACAGUCAGAGGUGAAAUUCUUAGAUUUGUUAAAGACAAACUACUGCGAAAGCAUUUGCCAAGGAUGUUUUCAUUAAUCAAGAACGAAAGUUAGGGGAUCGAAGACGAUCAGAUACCGUCGUAGUCUUA